Molecule: ribosomal RNA, 484 nt
Filed under: uncultured bacterium
Lineage: Bacteria
Description: bacterial SSU rRNA
Rfam family: Bacterial small subunit ribosomal RNA
Source: RNAcentral
GAUGAACGCUAGCUACAGGCUUAACACAUGCAAGUCGAGGGGCAGCAUUAGGUAGCAAUACUGAGAUGGCGACCGGCGCACGGGUGCGUAACGCGUAUCCAACCUUCCCGUUACUCUCGGAUAGCCUUCCGAAAGGGAGAUUAAUCCCCGAUGUUGUCGUUGUUCCGCAUGGUACAUCGACCAAAGAAAUUCGGUAUGGGAUGGGGGUGCGUUCCAUUAGCUUGUUGGCGGGGUAACGGCCCACCAAGGCGACGAUGGAUAGGGGUUCUGAGAGGAAGGUCCCCCACACUGGCACUGAGACACGGGGCCAGACUCCUACGGGAGGCAGCAGUGAGGAAUAUUGGUCAAUUGGGCGGAAGCCUGAACCAGCCAAGUAGCGUGCAGGAUGACGGCCCUACGGGUUGUAAACUGCUUUUGCGGAGGAUAAAACGCCCACGUGUGGGGCCUUGCAGGUAUCCGCGAAUAAGGACCGGCUAAUUCCGUG